UCCACUAGGUGGCAAGUAUGCUUUGGCCGACGACGGCCGAAGUUUACCGAGCAGGGCCCGGAACUUGCCGUUUGUUGUCAUUGUUUCAUUUGUG
This is a long non-coding RNA of Thalassophryne amazonica, 94 nucleotides long. RefSeq lists it as uncharacterized. The record is from RefSeq and is a predicted model, not a curated record. The transcript is spliced from 3 exons. NCBI's taxonomy places the organism in Eukaryota, Metazoa, Chordata, Actinopteri, Batrachoidiformes, Batrachoididae.